GAUAUUAAUUAUUGCUUUAAGCCAUUUACUGAGCACCUACUAGUUGGCUUUCCAUACUCAUUGAGAAUACCAAGAAGAAUAAGCUCAUUUCUUAUGCUGAAGAGGAGACAGACAUGCAAAUCAAGAAGUGGACACAUUACAAAAUGACCCAGGAGACACUGAGGGCCUCUGCUCCAUCCUUGCCAAUUCUGAGAAUAGUGCAGCCACAAGGAGGAUUGUUCUGAGGCUUCUCACAGGGCACAAAACCCCCACGCACUGUCCUCUGGCCACCUACAGCCUCUCUGACUCUGCACUGCCUCUGACCCUGCACUGCCUGCUUGAGCAAAGCAGUCUUUGAAAACCAUUUCCAGCCUGGCUAAUGAUGCAGUGCUUUGAAAAGUGCCACCAGGAUGAAAAACAGCUCACAAAUGGGGACUCCUCGUUAUUUUACCAGCACAGCCGGCAAGAAGCUCCUGCCAAGCAAGAUCAAACUUCUCAGGAAUGUUUUGAAAAGCUGGUGGAAACAAGGGCCUCUGUCACAUUUCUGUCACACCUCACCCCAGCAUGUGGGGAAAGCUCUCUUGGAACGAAUGUUAGUCGGUCUCAGAAACACACAAAAUUGAUGUCUCCAGCAGCAUUGCCAUUUCCACUGCAGACUUAAAGCUAUAUCUUUCUGGAUUCUAAUGCAGAAAGGGAACAGUUAGAGAAUCCAUCCAGGCUUUUUCUAAAAUGAGAGCCGGUUAAAGAUGCUGUUUAAAAAGGUGCCUCUCAAAGCUUCCCUCCUGACCUUCCAUACCAAAAGCCUGAGCUUAAUUACCUACAUAAUUUUCCUGGCUCCUGUGCUGUGGUCCAGGGGCCCUCUCUGUCCACCGGAAGCUAAGCCAUCUGUCGGACAUCUCUCUCUGGACUCCCCAGGGUUCCCUCUCACCUACACAUCUCGAUUAGCAGAUGACAGUUCUGCUAUAAUGUUUAUUUUACCUCUAACAGAUUUUCAGCUAAGUAGGUGAAGGGGCGGAGGUUCCCUGCCCAGAGCCAGUUCUGGGCUUCCUUUGGCUCCUCCUUCCAGUCUGCUAGGAAAAGGAACCUGGAGGCCUUUAGGAGGGAGGAGAGAUCACAUUUUCUUUGCCAUUGAGUAGUGAAGGUCAGGCCCUCCUUGCCAGCCACAAAGCAGAGAAUUGUUUGUUUAUUUCUCCGAGUAGCACUGUUCUGUCUCUGUGAGCAGCAGACAAAACCAGAAAAGGGAAUUCAUUCUGUGGAGCAGACCAAAGGCAGGGGGAAAACUUGUCCUUUGGAAAGAUAAAAGCAAAUUCAAUGAAGUGAUCAUCUUAAAUCUUCUAGUUAUUCUUCCCCUCCACCACCUUUCACCCCCAAUCUGAGUUUUCCUGGGAUUUAGGUAAGAACCCAUGAGAGAAAUGAGAUAUGGCAGAUAGAGAUGAGAGCAGCAAUAGGAACUUGGGGUGGAAAGGUGUGCAUUCAUCUAUAGAUCACUCAGCCAAAUAAGCCACUUAGAGAGUCCAGGCCCACAUUAAUUCCUUUGAUGACUCAGUGACGAGCAGAAUGCAUUUGCAAUACAGUAAGGCCAGAAACCUGGAAGAAGCAUCCUCCAUUCCUCCCUCUCUCUUAUCCUCCACACCUAAGCCAUGAUCAAUCUUACAGAGUCUGACUCCUAAAUAUCUGUCAAACUCACGCUCUUCUCUCCAUUUCCAUGGCUACUGCUGUAAUUCAGCACCAUCGAUUCCUGCCCAAAUGAUUGACACAGCUUUCUAAUUAGGCUGUUUGCCCCUUCCAAUCUACUCCCCACAUAGCACCCAGAGAAACCUUUCACAGGUGCAAAUCUUAUGCCAUUUUCUGGAUAAAACCCUUCAAGAUCUUAUUUCCUCCUCUCUUCUCCAGGCCCUAGUUUUAUGCUGAAAGCCCCAAGUCCUGCAUAAUUUGGUUCCUGCUUAUUUCUCCAGCCUUAACCCUUACAGCUUCCUGCUUCAAACAGUAGGCUCUAGCAAACUUAGCUUUUCUUUUGCAAAAUAGACCAAAUGCUCUUUCACUUUUGUGCCAUCAUGCAUGCUGUUUUCUCUGCUUGGAACAAUCUUUUUGAUACUCCCAGCCUUCCUUAAUUAGCUAUUUCCUACCUGAACUUUAGGUCUCAACUAAAAUGUCACUUCCUCUAGAAAGACUUUACUAGCCCUCAAGGCAGUUGAGCUAGAAGUUUCCUCUGUGCUCCCAUAGCAACUUAUGGAUUCACACGGCCCAGUUGUAAGAGCCAAGAGAG
This is a long non-coding RNA of Homo sapiens (human), 2245 nucleotides long. RefSeq lists it as uncharacterized. The transcript has 3 exons. Lineage: Eukaryota; Metazoa; Chordata; Mammalia; Primates; Hominidae. The record is from RefSeq and is a predicted model, not a curated record.